CCUACGGGAGGCAGCAGUGGGGAAUAUUGCACAAUGGGGGAAACCCUGAUGCAGCGACGCCGCGUGAGUGAAGAAGUAUUUCGGUAUGUUAAGCUCUAUCAGCAGGGGAGAAAAUGAGGGUACCUGAUUAAGAAGCCCCGGCUAACUACGUGCCAGCAGCCGCGGUAAUACGUAGGGGGCAAGCGUUAACAGGAUUUACUGGGUGUAAAGGGAGCGUAGAUGGCAGCACAAGUGUGGAGAGAAAUGCCGGGGCUUAACCCCGGAAAUGCCGUUGAAAAUGUGCAGCUUGAGUGCAGGAGAGGUAAGUGGAAUUCCUUGUGUAGCGGUGAAAUGCAUAGAUAUCACGCAGAACUCCGAUUGCGAAGGCAGCAUACCGGCGCGCAACUGACGCUGAUGCACGAAAGCGUGGGUAUCGAACAGGAUUAGAUACCCUUGUAGUC
This 440-nucleotide ribosomal RNA is filed under the name uncultured bacterium. RNAcentral's name for it is "partial 16S ribosomal RNA". It matches the Rfam family "Bacterial small subunit ribosomal RNA", at positions 338 to 795 of the family's 1533-position model. The record is from RNAcentral.